GACGUAGGUGACGAGCGUUAUCCGGAUUUACUGGGCGUAAAGAGCUUGUAGGUGGCUCUGUAAGUUGGGCGUGAAAGCCCCGGGCUUAACUCGGGGAGGUUGCUCAAUACUGCGGGGCUAGAGGGUGUCAGAGGGAAGUGGAAUUCCUGGUGUAGCAGUGAAACGCGUAGAUAUCAGGAGGAACACCCGUGGCGAAGGCGGCUUCCUGGGGCAUUCCUGACACUGAGAAGCGAAAGCUAGGGGAGCGAACGGG
Molecule: ribosomal RNA, 253 nt
Filed under: uncultured bacterium
Lineage: Bacteria
Description: partial 16S ribosomal RNA
Rfam family: Bacterial small subunit ribosomal RNA
Source: RNAcentral